RNAcentral lists this ribosomal RNA (517 nucleotides) under Staphylococcus equorum. RNAcentral describes it as "bacterial SSU rRNA". It matches the Rfam family "Bacterial small subunit ribosomal RNA", at positions 1 to 505 of the family's 1533-position model. The record is from RNAcentral. Lineage: Bacteria; Bacillati; Bacillota; Bacilli; Caryophanales; Staphylococcaceae.
UAGAGUUUUNAUCCUGGCUCAGGAUGAACGCUGGCGGCGUGCCUAAUACAUGCAAGUCGAGCGAACGGAUAAGGAGCUUGCUCCUUUGAAGUUAGCGGCGGACGGGUGAGUAACACGUGGGUAACCUACCUAUAAGACUGGAAUAACUUCGGGAAACCGGAGCUAAUGCCGGAUAACAUUUGGAACCGCAUGGUUCUAAAGUAAAAGAUGGUUUUGCUAUCACUUAUAGAUGGACCCGCGCCGUAUUAGCUAGUUGGUAAGGUAACGGCUUACCAAGGCAACGAUACGUAGCCGACCUGAGAGGGUGAUCGGCCACACUGGAACUGAGACACGGUCCAGACUCCUACGGGAGGCAGCAGUAGGGAAUCUUCCGCAAUGGACGAAAGUCUGACGGAGCAACGCCGCGUGAGUGAUGAAGGUUUUCGGAUCGUAAAACUCUGUUAUUAGGGAAGAACAAAUGUGUAAGUAACUGUGCACAUNCUUGACGGUACCUANCAGAAAGCCACGGCUAANNACG